GGCGCCGUUGCCGGGGACC
This 19-nucleotide small nuclear RNA is filed under the name Arabidopsis thaliana (thale cress). RNAcentral's name for it is "snRNA_00053". The record is from RNAcentral. Lineage: Eukaryota; Viridiplantae; Streptophyta; Magnoliopsida; Brassicales; Brassicaceae.